Molecule: ribosomal RNA, 460 nt
Filed under: uncultured bacterium
Lineage: Bacteria
Description: partial 16S ribosomal RNA
Rfam family: Bacterial small subunit ribosomal RNA
Source: RNAcentral
CCUACGCGCGGCAGCAGUGAGGCAUAUUGGUCAAUGGACGAGAGUCUGAACCAGCCAAGUAGCGUGAAGGAUGACUGCCCUAUGGGGUGUAAACUUCUUUUAUAAAGGAAUAAAACGAGGCACGUGUGCCUUUUUGCAUGUACUUUAUGAAUAAGGGUAGGCUAACUCCAUGCCAGCAACCGCUGUAAUACGGAGGAUCCGAGCGUUCUCCGGAUUUAUUGGGUUUAAAGGGAGCGUAGAUGGGUUGUUAAGUCAGUUGUGAAAGUUUGCGGCUCAACCGUAAAAGUGCAAUUGAUACUGGCAGUCUUGAGUACAGUUGAGGUAGGCGGAAUUCGUGGUGUAGCGGUGAAAUGCUUAGAUAUCACGAAGAACCCCGAUUGCGAAGGCAGCUUACUAAACUGUGACUGACAUUGAUGCUCGAAAGUGUGGGUAUCAAACAGGAUUAGAUACCCGUGUAGUC